RNAcentral lists this ribosomal RNA (525 nucleotides) under uncultured bacterium. RNAcentral describes it as "bacterial SSU rRNA". It matches the Rfam family "Bacterial small subunit ribosomal RNA", at positions 380 to 916 of the family's 1533-position model. The record is from RNAcentral.
AGCCUGAUGCACGGCGCCGCGUGAGGGAUGACGGCCUUCGGGUUGUAAACCUCUUUCUCUAGGGAAGAAGCGAAAGUGACGGUACCUGCAGAAGAAGCGCCGGCUAACUACGUGACAGCAGCCGCGGUAAUACGUAAGGCGCAAGCGUUAUCCGGAAUUAUUGGGCGUAAAGAGCUCGUAGGCGGUUUGUCGCGUCUGCCGUGAAAGUCCGGGGCUCAACUCCGGAUCUGCGGUGGGUACGGGCAGACUAGAGUGAUGUAGGGGAGACUGGAAUUCCUGGUGUAGCGGUGAAAUGCGCAGAUAUCAGGAGGAACACCGAUGGCGAAGGCAGGUCUCUGGGCAUUAACUGACGCUGAGGAGCGAAAGCAUGGGGAGCGAACAGGAUUAGAUACCCUGGUAGUCCAUGCCGUAAACGUUGGGCACUAGGUGUGGGGGACAUUCCACGUUUUCCGCGCCGUAUCUAACGCAUUAAGUGCCCCGCCUGGGGAGUACGGCCGCAAGGCUAAAACUCAAAGGAAUUGACGG